GAUGAACGCUGGCGGCGUGCCUAAUACAUGCAAGUCGAGCGAACGGACGAGAAGCUUGCUUCUCUGAUGUUAGCGGCGGACGGGUGAGUAACACGUGGAUAACCUACCUAUAAGACUGGGAUAACUUCGGGAAACCGGAGCUAAUACCGGAUGAUAUUUUGAACCGCAUGGUUCAAAAGUGAAAGACGGUCUUGCUGUCACUUAUAGAUGGGUCCGCGCUGCAUUAGCUAGUUGGUAAGGUAACGGCUUACCAAGGCAACGAUGCAUAGCCGACCUGAGAGGGUGAUCGGCCACACUGGAACUGAGGCACGGUCCAGACUCCUACGGGAGGCAGCAGUAGGGAAUCUUCCGCAAUGGGCGAAAGCCUGACGGAGCAACGCCGCGUGAGUGAUGAAGGUCUUCGGAUCGUAAAACUCUGUUAUUAGGGAAGAACAUAUGUGUAAGUAACUGUGCACAUCUUGACGGUACCUAAUCAGAAAGCCACGGCUAACUACGUG
Molecule: ribosomal RNA, 497 nt
Filed under: uncultured bacterium
Lineage: Bacteria
Description: partial 16S ribosomal RNA
Rfam family: Bacterial small subunit ribosomal RNA
Source: RNAcentral